This 212-nucleotide long non-coding RNA is filed under the name Salvia miltiorrhiza (redroot sage). RNAcentral's name for it is "long non-coding RNA (SMIL_LNC013890)". Lineage: Eukaryota; Viridiplantae; Streptophyta; Magnoliopsida; Lamiales; Lamiaceae. The record is from RNAcentral.
UGUUCUUUUUCUACCUUUUGUUAAAUAUUCUUUCUAGAAAUUAAUGAAUUGAAUAAUUUAAAUUUUAUUUUUAUUUUUAGCAUAAUUCUAUUAAAUUUUAAAUUAUACUCCCUCCGUCUCACAAAAAUAUGAAUAAUUGGAAGUGACAUUGGUUUUAAGAAGUAUUAGUUGAAAAUUAUUGUGAGUGGAAAAUAGGUCUCACUUUAAAAAAG